GGCAGAGUAGUUUAAUGGUGAGAAUACUGGGCUGUGAUCCCAGAGGUGGUUUGUGCAAGAUCUUUUGCUA
Molecule: transfer RNA, 70 nt
Filed under: Potamilus streckersoni
Lineage: Eukaryota; Metazoa; Mollusca; Bivalvia; Unionida; Unionidae
Description: tRNA-His
Rfam family: tRNA
About the family: Transfer RNA (tRNA) molecules are approximately 80 nucleotides in length. Their secondary structure includes four short double-helical elements and three loops (D, anti-codon, and T loops).
Source: RNAcentral